UGAUGGAUAAAAGCUAGCGUCAAGCUCACUCCGCCCAGUUACCAAUUCCUAAAUUGACCAAAUAUCAAAAGUUUUAGCUCACAGCGAAUCUUGAAUAGAGCAGAAAUGAACAGCUAAUAGCGAAAACUGUAAACAAAUUUUAAAGCACGUUUUUCAAUAAUAAAUUUAAAAAAAAUUUUAUAUCAUCACUAUACAUUGAAAUUUAAAAACGGAUCAAAAAUAUGGGUGAUACAGACUCUGAGUGGCAAUCUGUUAAUCAUAAAAGGAAGGUUGUGCAUUUUCCCAAGAACAAAAAGAAGAAAAAGAUUCUUCAAAAUGAACUUGGUAUAGAUGAUUUGAAUAGUUUAAAGUCCUAUGAAGAUUCUCACA
Molecule: non-coding RNA, 369 nt
Organism: Parasteatoda tepidariorum (common house spider)
Lineage: Eukaryota; Metazoa; Arthropoda; Arachnida; Araneae; Theridiidae
Source: RefSeq, a predicted model, not a curated record